Non-coding RNA from Nelumbo nucifera (sacred lotus), 300 nucleotides. NCBI's taxonomy places the organism in Eukaryota, Viridiplantae, Streptophyta, Magnoliopsida, Proteales, Nelumbonaceae. The record is from RefSeq and is a predicted model, not a curated record.
CUCAGUCUCUCACUCCUAUUGACCUGCCCUCUGAAACCCAGACCACCCUAUCUCCUCCCUCGUCGGAUCUUUCCGAGAAAUCCAACACUGACGAUCGUUUCGGUAGAUACGUCGGAGAAGGAAAGAAUCGCGAAGAUACAGGUGCUGGCUCUGGUUAAGAUAAAGGCUUGAAACAAUGUCAAUAAUGUCUUUAUAUGUUAUUCCCAGAAGGCUCUUUGUCUUGAUUAUGCACAAACCGACUGCUUUCUAUCUUUAAAUUAACGACUAUAGGAAAAGGAUUCAUCAUUUUCCUUGAUGGAA